AUUUUUUAACACUGGUUUUGAUAUUUUUAACAUUGUAUUUUAAUAUUUUUGAUUAAAAAAAACAAAAACAUAAUUUUGUUCUGUAAAAACUGAAAUCAUGAGAUGUUAUGUAUGAUGAGAUAUUAACAGUCACUUCAACUUGGUCUUAUAUAAAGCUGUUAGAGUGCCAAACCCUGUCGUUCUUGGUCAAAAAACAGUAUUUACAAACACAUCCAUUAUAUUUAUCUAACAGGCAAUGAUGUUGAGAUUGCACUUUACUGAGGCACAUCAUAUACAUUUGGGAACAGACAUCAAAAAAUCGUGAGCAGCACGAACAGUCCGUAGAGCAGCGCACAAGGGUAUGCCACGAGGAACUGCUGUCCUUCCAUAGCCAACGUGGUGAUGAAUAUUUUUGAAGCUGAGAAACUGCACCAUCCAAUAACAGCAGCUGCCAAUACUGUCCCAACAAUUCCUC
Non-coding RNA from Pelobates cultripes (western spadefoot toad), 454 nucleotides. NCBI's taxonomy places the organism in Eukaryota, Metazoa, Chordata, Amphibia, Anura, Pelobatidae. The record is from the annotation of a GenBank genome assembly.